Molecule: ribosomal RNA, 253 nt
Filed under: uncultured bacterium
Lineage: Bacteria
Description: partial 16S ribosomal RNA
Rfam family: Bacterial small subunit ribosomal RNA
Source: RNAcentral
UACGGGGGGGGUAAGCGUUGUUCGGAAUUACUGGGCGUAAAGGGCUCGUAGGCGGCCAACUAAGUCAGACGUGAAAUCCCUCAGCUUAACUGGGGAACUGCGUCUGAUACUGGAUGGCUUGGAUUCGGGAGAGGAAUGCGGAAUUCCAGGUGUAGCGGUGAAAUGCGUAGAUAUUGGGAGGAACACCAGUGGCGAAGGCGGCUCACUGGACCGGAACUGACGCUGAUGCGCGAAAGCGUGGGGAGCGAACAGG